GUCCAGCCGAGCAGACGGAUCAGAGUUUGCUUUUUUUGUCGCGGGUCGACGAAUGAGCUUCUCAGGUGAGGUAACGCAGUCUUGAAAAGCUGCAGUUUCAUCGGCCACCGGCAUUGUAACAAUUAUCUUCAACAUGCUUCGUUUGCUAUACAUCUGGACUGCCUUCCUUUUACCAUGCGCCUGGGCACAAAACAGCAUGCAGAACGUUAUCUUGGAGGCAAAGAACAUUACUGUUCCAGCAGGGUCAGAUGUUGUUUUGCCAUGUCAUAACCAGCGGAUGGUUUGGAGGCAGGAUCGCUUGCGGGACCGCCAGCGUGUUGUGCACUGGGACCUGAUCCGGAACCGACCCGAUUACACUGUGGAACGCAUUCUAGAUAUGUUCUCAGGAGGAACUGAGCGCCUGUAUAAUGACUAUAACAAGGGCCGUAUUACUAUAUCAAAAGAUGCCUUCAUUGAUGGCAACUUUUCACUAGUUAUUAACAAUGUGGACAUGAAUGAUAAAGGUGUUUAUACCUGCAACCUGCAUCACCACUAUUGCAAGGUCCACCAGUCCAUUAAAAUCCAGCUCAAUGUCACUAAAUCACCCCAAAAGGAGAGACGUGUGUGGGACGGUGAUAAAUCUGUGUUUGUGGUUCUGGUGGGGAAGAGUGUGGUUCUUCCAUGUGUGAACCGUAGAACAUUGUGGACGGACAGUCAUAGAGAUGAAGGCCAGCAGCAGGUUGUCCACUGGGACUGGCAAGCACCUGGGGUCACCCGUGACCGAGCUGACCGCCUCAUUGAUGUGUACGCCUCUGGAGAAAACCGGCAGUAUGGACCACUCUUCCUCCGGCAUAAGAUGAACAUCUCAACUGAUGCAUUCUCCAUGGGGGAUUUCUCUCUAAGAGUCCGUAACAUCCAGCCCUCGGAUAAAGGCCUGUUUUCUUGUCAUCUUCACCAUCACUACUGUGGUCUGCAUGAGAGGCGAAUCUUCAGGGUGAUCGUUGGUCCAUCUGUCCAGCCUUUGCCUCCAGCACGCUCCCCUACUGAAGCACCAACAACUCCCUUUUCCCGUCCAGUCAUACCUGCUGAUAACCCAAAUACAAACAUGGUUGAAGCACCUCAUGUCCUCAAUGUAAUUCUGCCAGAGAAUCAAACUAACCUCUUGCACCAAGUGGGCUACAUCCUGGCAAUCUUCCUGUUGCUUCUCCUCAUGCUCAUUGGAAUCAUAAUGACCACAAGGCACUGUAGAAAGAAAGGGCCUGAAUUUGAGGUUCGGAGGUACGAGCAGGGUCGAAGGGCAUCAAUUGAGCUAGAUGUCACAGAAAUGCAACCCUACAAUCAUGAAGACUUGCGGCCGGGUAAGGUGUAAUCAGUAGUGUAGUCUACGGCAUACACAGUCAAACGCUGUAUGCCCCCCAUCUUUCACAGGAUUUUGUGUAUGCCCACCUGAAAUAAGUGAUGAUACGCAAGGCCGUAGCUAGUGGGGUGAAAGGUGGUAACAAUUCUAGAGGCCCACAGGUCCAGGGGGUCCCCACAUCAAAUUCUAAUCUGUAUUUUCUAAUAGGAAAGGGGCCCAGAGCAAUAAACAUUUAGGGGUCCCUGAAUACCUUGCUACGGCCCUGAUGAUACGUAUGGCCCUGGUACAACGAGUAGGCUUUUGACCCGGAACUUUUUCUAAUGACACGGUGUUAUUAUUAUUAUUUUAAAAAGUGUACAGAGAUUCUCUAUAAAUGCGCAUGGAGCAGCGGGAGGUGGGAGCACAACUGAUGGCACAGGCAAGACAGACGGUCCGACUAAUCUGAUCCUCCAAUCAGAACGUUCAUUUCAGACGCGACAGGAUAUUUGCUAACCAAUCAUAUUUUUCAUUUCAGUAAGGGGCAGGACAUUUCCAGCCUCUAAUGCACAAGCGUCCCUGGAGUAAACAUAAUUUGUGUGAUUGCAAGAAUAACAUAAUGAAAGAAAGGGCAGAGACAAACAACUAUCCCUCUCCAAAGGUUAUCGAUCUCAACAGAGAAAUGGAGAGAAUGUCAUGGAUGUGAUUCAUGGUGAGCUGCUGGCUGGUCCAGAGCAUGCUGAAUGAGAAGAAAUUCAAAGACUUUACAAUCAGAGGAGCUUUACAUUUUUUCCCUUUACAUUGAGAACACAAACAGAAUUACUGUUGUGUCUGCUUCAGCAUAAUUACUGCUUACAUUAUUGAUCUGAAACAUCUUAUUUCAUAAUACUCGAAUUCUGUUAAUAUCAGUAAAUCAUUAGAAGUGAAAUCUUUUUUCUUAUCAUAAGUGUGCAACAGUGGUUUCACAAUGGUAAUCUGUUGAACUGAAGUUACACACUUAAAAUAUAGCAAGGCCAAUAUGCUGAAUUGUGCAUUUGUAUUACUCUAGUGCUGUUUUCUGUGUGGUAGAAUCUACUGUAGAUGCUAAAUCUGGCAAUGUCACAAUGGUACUUACCAGAAGAGGUGCAUUUACUGAGAAUAAAUGGGUUUUCUCCUCUAAGAAUAGAAAUUUCGUAUAAAUCUCAGGAAGUAAACAAAUAGCUGUGGCUUCAGGACUAAACAGCGAAAGAUGGUAUACAAAUGAACCUCAACGACCUUUUAGCAAUUAAAUGUCUGUACUGUUCUAGUAUGUAUGUGUAUCUAUACUAUAAUCUAUAAUAUUACUUGUUUUAUGAAUUUUUAAUCUUACUUUAAUCCUAAUAAUUUGACAAUGACUUCUUUGGUCCUAGGUUUUCAAUCCUUGUUUUAUAGCAUUGUAUACAUGGCACAGUGCAGUUUAUUUGGUUUUGCAAAUAUGAGCAAGACCCAGUUAUCUUUUUUUUUUUCAUCUUUAUCAGUUUUUAUAAUUUUUCUUGGUCAGUAAUGCUCAUUUACACAGGUUAGGAAGUAUUCAUGCAAAAGGUUACAGGAUUAUGCAUAGAAAAACCAUACAAAUGCAAUGAUCUGAUAAGCAGUAGAUUUUAUUCAAUCAGGAGUGUACAUUUAUCAUUAGAGUGGCAGUACAUGGUUGUGUUGGUAGAGGAUCAAUGUAAUAAAGUUUAUUCUGAAAUACUUUGUAUAAGAGCUGCAAUGUAGCUACAUCAUAUCUCUUUUCAGUAAACAAUGUUCUGUCAACUGUU
This is an RNA transcript of Myxocyprinus asiaticus (Chinese sucker), 3090 nucleotides long. It is a transcript of the gene named matrix remodeling-associated protein 8-like, with no coding region annotated. The transcript is spliced from 10 exons. The record is from RefSeq and is a predicted model, not a curated record. NCBI's taxonomy places the organism in Eukaryota, Metazoa, Chordata, Actinopteri, Cypriniformes, Catostomidae.